This 655-nucleotide ribosomal RNA is filed under the name uncultured archaeon. RNAcentral's name for it is "bacterial SSU rRNA". It matches the Rfam family "Archaeal small subunit ribosomal RNA", at positions 156 to 811 of the family's 1478-position model. The record is from RNAcentral.
AGGCCUGAGGUACUGGAAGGUCCUCAGGCCGAAAGGGGCUCUGCCCGCCCGAGGAUGGGCCGGCGGCCGAUUAGGUAGUUGGUGGGGUAACGGCCCACCAAGCCGAAGAUCGGUACGGGCCAUGAGAGUGGGAGCCCGGAGAUGGACACUGAGACACGGGUCCAGGCCCUACGGGGCGCAGCAGGCGCGAAACCUCCGCAAUGCGGGCAACCGCGACGGGGGGACCCCCAGUGCCGUGGCAACGCCACGGCUUUUCCGGAGUGUAAAAAGCUCCGGGAAUAAGGGCUGGGCAAGGCCGGUGGCAGCCGCCGCGGUAAUACCGGCGGCCCGAGUGGUGGCCGCUAUUAUUGGGCCUAAAGCGUCCGUAGCCGGGCCCGUAAGUCCCUGGCGAAAUCCCACGGCUCAACCGUGGGGCUUGCUGGGGAUACUGCGGGCCUUGGGACCGGGAGAGGCCGGGGGUACCCCUGGGGUAGGGGUGAAAUCCUAUAAUCCCAGGGGGACCGCCAGUGGCGAAGGCGCCCGGCUGGAACGGGUCCGACGGUGAGGGACGAAGGCCAGGGGAGCGAACCGGAUUAGAUACCCGGGUAGUCCUGGCUGUAAAGGAUGCGGGCUAGGUGUCGGGCGAGCUUCGAGCUCGCCCGGUGCCGAAGGGAAG